Molecule: long non-coding RNA, 1311 nt
Filed under: Cicer arietinum (chickpea)
Lineage: Eukaryota; Viridiplantae; Streptophyta; Magnoliopsida; Fabales; Fabaceae
Description: long non-coding RNA (CARI_LNC002451)
Source: RNAcentral
GGUGAUCUCCACGCGCCCCGCAAGAUCCUCCUGACACAGUUUUGGUCAAGUAUGACUAACUACUUUCCCAUCUCUAGGGUACUAACCGGUAGGAUGAUCCUGGUUCUUAUCUGAGGGCAAAGCCCAGAUUUCCACAAUAAUUGUAAAGGUCGCCAACCGAAAUUAACAAACAUCACAUAACAAAAUUCUUAUAUUUUCAAAUGCUCAAAAUAACCUUUCGUCUUAGCAUACUCCUCGAAAGGGUUUUCAUAUGUCCAAAAAUGCAUAAACACUGUUGAAAAAUGAAGUUUUGUCAAACUGCAUUGUCGUAGCCGAAUACAAUUGAGAAAAGGCAGAUUUUCAAUUCUAAAAUGGCUCUGAAUCAACCAACACUUCAAACAUUAAAUGUUAUCAACUAUGAACACAUAAUUAACACCAAAUUAAUCUCCACAAAUUCACACCUCAAUCACACAUCGAAUAUUCAUUAAAUCAAUUAUGAACACAUAAAUACAUCAAAAGUUGAUCAACCUAACUUCACACCUCAAAGUAAUUACGACAAAUCACAACAACAACUGAAUAUGUAUAUACAAUUAUCAAAGUAUAACAAACAUGCCUCGCGUGCCAAGCACCAUAAUGCAAUGCGUAUAUGCCAAAAUGCAUCAUUUCGAAAUUCCAAACCAAAACCCUCCUCGAGGGGCGUAAAUCAUAAUUUUACAGCCUCUCACAGACCAUUACUAAUUACCGAGGUGCAAUCUCUCACGGAUCAGCACGAUUUACUAGCGUGCAGUCUCUCACAGACCAACACGACAUACAAGAGUGCAGUCGCUCACAGACCAGCACAAUUUUCUAGAGUGCAAUUGCUCACAGAUCAUCACAUUCUAGAGUGCAAUCUCUCACAGAUCAGCACGACGCGACAAUCCCUGCAAGGAUAAGAUGAACCAACAAUUCACAUGGCAUCAUCCCGUGGCCCAUCACGGUCACCACUAUCACCAUGGCCCCAUCGCGGUCACCAUGUACUAUGAAAUGCAUGAGCAUACUCUGACUCUUUUCACCACAAUCAUUAAGUAAAUGCAGUUAUUAAAAGAUUCCCCAUUUUUAAUACUCAUUUAACACUAAUGAUUUUUCAAACACCACACAGAGCAUACUCAAACAUAUUUAUUCACACCAAUUUAAAUUUCCACAACCACACAUAAAUCACAUCUCCAAAUUUCAUCCACACCUAAAUUGAAUUAAAUUCAUUUUCCACCAAGUCACACAUAAAUUUCAUCUCAAAAAUUCAUAAUAUUAAUUAUGAACACAUCAAUUUCACCUAACAUAAAUCACCAAAAUUUC